AACGAACGCUGGCGGCAGGCCUAACACAUGCAAGUCGAGCGAGUACUUCGGUCUUAGCGGCGGAUUGGUGAGUAACCCGUUGGAACGUGCCCUUUGCUUUGGAUUAGCCCUGGGAAUCUGGUCGUAAUACCGGAUCAGCUCUCUCGUGGAAAGAUUUAUCGGCGAAGGAUCGGCCGGCGUUGUAUCAGUUGGUUGUUGGGGUAAUGGCCUACCAAGCCGACGAUACAUAGCUGGGUAGAGAGGAAGCUCACCCACACUGGGACUGAGACACGGCCCAGAAUCCUACGGGAGGGAGGAGAGGGGAAUCUUAGAAAGUGGGGGAAACGAUGAAGGAGCCAUGCCGGGUGAGCGAUGAAGGCCGUAAGGAUGUAAAGCUAUUUCAGCUGGGAAGGUAAUGACGGUACCAGCAGAAGAAGCCCCGGCUAACUCCGUG
This 433-nucleotide ribosomal RNA is filed under the name uncultured bacterium. RNAcentral's name for it is "partial 16S ribosomal RNA". It matches the Rfam family "Bacterial small subunit ribosomal RNA", at positions 29 to 507 of the family's 1533-position model. The record is from RNAcentral.